Molecule: unclassified non-coding RNA, 271 nt
Filed under: Hevea brasiliensis (rubber tree)
Lineage: Eukaryota; Viridiplantae; Streptophyta; Magnoliopsida; Malpighiales; Euphorbiaceae
Source: RNAcentral
GAGGAAUGCUGGGAGGUGGCGGUAGGGCUCGCUGCGGCGGGUAUGGAGGAAGAAGGAGAGGGAUGCGGCGGCGAUCUUGUCCAUGUCGCCGAGGUAGCAGCGGAGGCCGUCGGAGCGGCCGUGGCCGAGGAGGUCGGCAGCGAAGACGGCGUAGCCCCAGGAGGCGUAGGAGAGGCAGAUCUUUUGGAACAUCCAGCCGGUGUCGGAGCCGUAGCCGUGAGUCAUGUAGACGGUGCCUUUGAGCUCCGGUGAGUCGAGAGGGAUGAAGCUC